UCAGGAACGGCCGAGUGUGGUGUAUUGUACUCGUAGAAAUAACAGUAUUGCACCUGUCCCGGCCGAUCUUGG
Molecule: non-coding RNA, 72 nt
Organism: Ciona savignyi (Pacific transparent sea squirt)
Lineage: Eukaryota; Metazoa; Chordata; Ascidiacea; Phlebobranchia; Cionidae
Source: Rfam